GAUAGGAAGCAAUUUUUCAUGAAUGGUUCCAUUUUCCUCAAGUCUAAAGGAAAAUGGAAUUUAACCCUAAAUCUCCACUGUCCCAUUUCCUUAUAAGUUGUCAAAAGGGUUGAAUUCAUUUGUCCGAUACUUCCAUUUUCUUUAUUUUACAACUGUUUUUGACUAAAGGGGGUCUCUCAGAAUCUCUUCGAAUCAUCAGAAAGAUACCCAAGUUCACUUUUUUAUUGUUGUUUUAGGUUCUUUGUUGUUUUGGGUCAAUUGGGUUUGGGUAACUUGUGAAUGAUCUGAUAUCUUUAUUCUUUUUUUUUUCGAGAAUGGCUGAUGAUAUGGUCAUUCAUUUUGCAUCCAAUUCUUCUAACCAAUCUGACCAGUCUUUGCCUACAAGGAUUGCGAAACUCGAGGCGAGAAUGGUGGGGAAAGCUUCAUCUGUUACAUCCCAAGCUAAUUCUUGGUCUGCCCCAGCUAUAUUUGGAGCUGCUGAGAAUGUUGCUGAGGCUGCCGCCAUCUCUAGUGAUUCAGAUGAUGAUGAUGGCAAAGAGUGUUUCAUCUGCAAGAAGGGCGGUCAUCGUGCUAAGGAUUGCCCUGAAAAAAACCAAGGAGGAUCUGAAAGUUCAAGAAUGUGAUUGGGAACGUUCUGAGGCAUCGAAGAAAGGAAAAUCACAGGUGAAUUAGGUUGCUUGACUUCGGUUCUUCGGUUGAGCGAGUCUUCCAUCGACUUCAACUCGACUUCAGCUCUAGUCAGUCUCCAGUUCAUCGGAUUGGAGGGUGAGCUAUCCUUCUAACUAGCGAUGGAAUCUCUUGUCAUGGCAUGGUGUCCUUAGUUUUCGGACACACUAUGUUAAUUGUUUAUUCUGGUAUUGAUAUUUUCAGACUUAGUUUUAGAAUUUAGAUGUCCUUCAUGUGAUGACUUUCAGGUUUUGGGAAAAACGUAUUUAUUUGAGCUUCCGCGUUAUUGUUAUGUUUAUUAAUUGGGGUUUGUAUCGUUGGUUCUCCCAUCUAGGAGGUUAAGUGUGGGUGCCACUCAUGACCCAUUUUGGGUCGUGACAUCAUUGUGCUAAGGAUUGCCCUGAAAAAAACCAAGGAGGAUCUGAAAGUUCAAGAAUGUGUUUAAAAUGUGGGGAUUCUGGGCAAUGAUAUGUUUUCAUGAUGGAAUAACUAUUCUGCUGAUGAUCCAGAGGUGUUGCUGAAGAAACUUCAACUUGAAAUUGAUUUAUUUUUUGUUGCUUAAUUAUCAAUUUUCCUGCUUUCAUCUUGACCUUGACAGGAAAUACAAUGUUACAUUUGUAAGAGUUUUUGUCAUCUUUGCUGUGCAAGCUACCCUGAUGGUUGUCCGAGUGAAAUAUCCUGUUACAGAUGUGGUCUACUAGGUCAUACCGGUUUGGUAAGUAAAUGGCCAUGAAACGACAUGACUCCUCUGUGUAUGUGUGUGUGUGUUUCUCUUGUCCUUGUUCAGGAAUCCUUUUGAAUGCUGCAAUUUCAACUUACAUAUGUUCAAUGCAAGCAUGCACAGGAUCUCGUGGGGAGACUAGUGGUACAUGGCAUCUUAGUUCUUGUUAUAGGUGUGGCGAAGAAGGGCAUUUUGCACGAGAAUGCACUAAUUCCAAUACAGUGAAUUAUAUAUCUGUGAUUGACAACCCGCUCAUUUGCAGCAUCCUCCAACUCCUGGAAAUAAGAGAGCCAGGUUAUCCAACUUUGGUUCUGAUGAUCAUUCUUCUGUUUCUUAUUCAUCUAGAAAAGUCCAACAGGCUUGACUUUAAUGAUUCAACUUCUUAUGGAUCAGUCAAAUAUCAUCAUCACCAUAGGUUUUCGGCUUCUCGUUUUGGUAACAACAGUCAUGAUGGGAGGAGAAAUUAUGAAUGGUAACAGAAACCCUCUAUCAUCUCCUCUCUUUUUUGGAUGAUUUGAGAAAUCCAUCAGAAGCAUAACCUUACCAAUUGAGCUAAUGGCUUGACCUUGGGGGAGUAAGUCCAUGGACCCUUCCUUCAAAGGGUGCCUAGAUACUGAAAGGUUGUCCCUUGCAACGCUGAAACCCAGGGGGCAUCUCCUAGUCUUUUUUAAUUAUUAUUAUUAUUUGAAAUUUGAGUUUCCCCUUGAUCCCAUUAGUGUUAAUUAUCCAUAAUUGCUAGUAUUCUCUGAAGUUGGUUAUUUGUGUUUCUCUAGUUUGUAGACUUUGGGAGAGGUACAUUAUAUGAAUUCUGAAAAGAAUAUUCCAACUACACUAUUGAAGAAACAAAAUAACACAUAUAUAACAGUUGUUUACCCUUUUUGAAAUAUAGCAAUA
RNA transcript from Solanum dulcamara, 2281 nucleotides. It is a transcript of the gene named serine/threonine-protein kinase TOUSLED-like, with no coding region annotated. NCBI's taxonomy places the organism in Eukaryota, Viridiplantae, Streptophyta, Magnoliopsida, Solanales, Solanaceae. The transcript has 4 exons. The record is from RefSeq and is a predicted model, not a curated record.